UACGGAGGGGCGAGCGUUAUUCGGAAUUAUUGGGCGUAAAGGGCGCGUAGGCGGCUUGAUAAGUCAAAGGUGAAAUCCCUCGGCUCAACUGAGGAACUGCCUUUGAAACUGCCAAGCUCGAGGCCGGGAGGGGGUAGCGGAAUUCCCAGUGUAGCGGUGAAAUGCGUAGAUACUGGGAGGAACACCGGUGGCGAAGGCGGCUACCUGGACCGGUUCUGACGCUGAUGCGCGAA
Molecule: ribosomal RNA, 233 nt
Filed under: uncultured bacterium
Lineage: Bacteria
Description: partial 16S ribosomal RNA
Rfam family: Bacterial small subunit ribosomal RNA
Source: RNAcentral